GGGGCAUUAGCUCAGUUGGUAGAGUGCCACACUGGCAGUGUGGAUGUCAGGAGUUCGAGUCUCCUAUGCUCCACCA
RNAcentral lists this transfer RNA (76 nucleotides) under Clostridia bacterium. RNAcentral describes it as "tRNA-Ala". It matches the Rfam family "tRNA". From Rfam's summary of the family: Transfer RNA (tRNA) molecules are approximately 80 nucleotides in length. Their secondary structure includes four short double-helical elements and three loops (D, anti-codon, and T loops). The record is from RNAcentral. RNAcentral also lists the same sequence under 1 other name. Lineage: Bacteria; Bacillati; Bacillota; Clostridia.